CAACCCAUGCGGAAGCCGUGUUUGCCAGGUGGGUAACUUCCGAACAGUGUCCACAGCCUCCCGUCCUCCCCACCUGGGUUCCAGCAGCACACAGAUUGCCUCAGCUGCUUGUCGAAGUUAAAAAGUAAAAUUCCAGAGCCAUCCGGGAUGUGAGUUCUUCUGACUAUACCCAGAAGAAAGUGUUCUGACCUUAAACUAUUUAUCAAAGAACAGGCCCCAAGCUCAAAGCCCUAGGAAUGAGGAUGGAAGCAAGAAGAUUACAUAACAAAUUCUUAUUAUGGAAUUGUUUGAAUAUUUUACAAAAAACCCACAUACUUUUAUAAUUUAAAAAAUGUCAUGAUUGUCCUAUGCUUUCAGCUGUGAUUAAAGGA
Long non-coding RNA from Suricata suricatta (meerkat), 371 nucleotides. RefSeq lists it as uncharacterized. The record is from RefSeq and is a predicted model, not a curated record. NCBI's taxonomy places the organism in Eukaryota, Metazoa, Chordata, Mammalia, Carnivora, Herpestidae. The transcript has 3 exons.